This 201-nucleotide ribosomal RNA is filed under the name uncultured bacterium. RNAcentral's name for it is "partial 16S ribosomal RNA". It matches the Rfam family "Bacterial small subunit ribosomal RNA", at positions 1302 to 1500 of the family's 1533-position model. The record is from RNAcentral.
AGGCUGCAACUCGCCUACACGAAGUCGGAAUCGCUAGUAAUCGCGGAUCAGCAUGCCGCGGUGAAUACGUUCCCGGGCCUUGUACACACCGCCCGUCACACCAUGAGAGUUGGCAAUACCCAACGUACGUGAUCUAACCCGCAAGGGAGGAAGCGUCCUAAGGUAGGGUCAGCGAUUGGGGUGAAGUCGUAACAAGGUACC